This 858-nucleotide ribosomal RNA is filed under the name Triticum aestivum (bread wheat). RNAcentral describes it as "partial small subunit ribosomal RNA". Lineage: Eukaryota; Viridiplantae; Streptophyta; Magnoliopsida; Poales; Poaceae. The record is from RNAcentral.
AUGGCCGCGCCCUUCUUCUCCACCCCCUUUCAGCCCUACGUCUACCAGAGCCAACAGGGAUCUGUGACGGCGUUUCAGAUAUCCGGUGGGGAUGUGCAGGUCCUGCAGGUGAUGGUGAAGUCGCAGGACAAGUUGACUGCGAAACCAGGUACAAUGUGUUACAUGUCCGGGAACAUUCAGAUGGACAACAAUUACUUGCCUGAAAACGAUGGAGGCGUGUGGCAGUGGAUAUUUGGAAAAAGCAUAACCAGCACUGUUUUCUUCAAUCCUGGCCCUGAUGAUGGAUAUGUGGGGAUUUCUGCACCAUUUCCUGGGAGGAUACUGCCUAUAGAUCUAGCAAACUUUGGUGGAGAACUACUUUGCCAGGCAGAUUCUUUCCUCUGCUCGGUCAAUGAUGUGUCAGUCACAAGUAGUACAGUUGAUCAGCGGCCGCGCAACAUUGAAAUUGGUGCAGAGAUGAUCCUCAAACAGAAGCUUAGGGGUCAAGGGAUGGCCUUCCUUGUUGGCGGUGGAUCAGUAAUGCAGAAAAUUCUUGCUCCCCGGGAGGUGAUUACUGUUGAUUGUGCUUGUAUUGUGGCUAUGACAACCACCAUUAACUUUCAGUUACAGAACCCUACCCCACAUAGAAGAGCAGUCCUUGUAUUCGGGGGUGUCAACCAGCUAAAAGCAUCUCUCACAGGACCUGGCGUCGUUUUCAUUCAGAGCCUUCCCUUCAAUCGGCUCUCGCAGCGCAUCGCAAGUAGAUCGGUGGGGGCCCCAAGCUUGAGAGACAACCCCAGGUUCUUCAUCCAGAUCGUCAUGUUCUUCUUCCUGGCCUAUGUCAUGAUUGUGUCGUCAAUAAUUCUGACGGAUGUUUAG